GGGUGCGCGCCUGGGCUCCCACCCUGGCCAGUCCCGGGCCCACCACCACUCUGGCAUCCCCAGCCUGUCCCCGCGGCUCCUCCUCCUUCCCCGGCCCUGUGGCCUGCCUGCUGUCCAGCAUUCUUCCCCAGGGCGCUGUGGCGCGGAGGGAGGACUCCCCAAACCCCGGGAACAGAGCCUUGCGGAGGACCCCGGAGGAGGAGGAGGAGGGACGCGGACGGGACUGGGAGAUUCGGUCGGGAAGGGGACAGGGCCUACAGCCCGGGGCUAGAAGGCAGGACACCUGGCUUCGGUCUGGGCUCGGCCUUUGACUACGACGUGACCUUGAGGACGGUUCCUUCCCUUCGUGGGGCCUGGGUCCCCUUCGGAUGACAAAAAGCAGUCUUCAGCCUGAGACCCAUCCCUAGCUCACCAGACUUUCACUUUGUACCUUACGAGAUACAAGAAAACGUCUUUUAAGCUAUUUACAGCUUUUAACAAUUGAAUGAAGUAUACUUCUAUGAACAAAAUUUAGACCAUAUUUGUUUCUGUCUACCUGAUUUCUCCAAAAUUUGGGAACUAUGUCAAAGGAAAGAAGCCCAGUGUAUUAUUCUAUGCUGCUUCUAAAACGAAGCUGUGGUGCUCAGAAUCUAGUGUGUUGAAAAGAGCCUUUGACAGCUGAUCUUAACGUGACUGUAAUGCUGAAAUCUGUGGAUGAAUGAGAAUUGGAGGAGCUGCCUUUUCCUUGCAGUGAAUGAUGAAUAAAAACUGAUGGUUUUACAAGGGGAAACCCCUUUUGCUUGGCUUUCAUCCUCUCUCUUGUCUGCCACCAUGUAAGACGUGCCUUUUGCCAUGAUUGUGAGGCCUCCCCAGCCAUGUGGAACUGCUCAUAAGUGGAAGAGACUUGCCUUGUCUCGGGUAAGACUUUGGACUGCGGACUUUUGAGUUAAUGCCGAAAUGAGUGAAGACUUUGGGAAACUCUUGGGAAGGCAUGAUUGGUUUUGAAAUGUGAAGACAUGAGAUUUGGAAGGGGCCAGGAGUGGAAUGAUAUGGUUUGACUCUGUCCCCACCCAAAUCUCAUCUUGAAUUAUAGCUACCAUAAUUCCCAUGUGUUGUGGAAGGGACCCAGUGGGAGAUAAUUGAAUUGUUGAGGUGGUUCCCCCCUUAGUUUUCACAUGCUAGUGAAUAAGUCUCAUGAGAUCUAAUGGUUUUACAAGAGGAAACCCCUUUCACUUGGCUUUCAUUCUCUCUCUUGCCUGCCACUGUGUAAGAUGUGCCUUUUGCCUUCUGCCAUAAUUGUGAGGCCUCCCCAGCCAUGUGGAACUGUGAGUCCAUUAAACCUCUUUUUCUUUGUAAAUUACUCAUUCUUGGGUAUGUCUUUAUCAGCAAUAAGGAAAUGGAUGAAUACACAUAUAAACUUUGAAAGAUGGCCAAGCAUAGUAGUUCAUGCCUGUAAUCUCAAUACUUUGGGAGAACAAGAUGGGAGGAUCACUUGAGCCUAGGAGUUCAAGACCAGCCUAGGCAAACAGCAAGACCUUGUUUCUACAAAAAUUUAAAAAUUAGCCAGGCAAGGUUGUGGCAGGCCAGGUCUCCAUAAUGGCUGAACAGGUAGGCCUCCAUAACAACUGUUUCAGCACUGACUGAGUGGUUAGGUUAAAUAUUAAAAGCUGAUAGCGUCAGUGCCCUAUACAAAGGCUUGAAUGUAACAAAAGCCCACAAAGAGUUUUGCCUAGGCCUUUCCUGGGCCUUAAAGCAUGACAAAAUAAUGAAGGAAUUCUUAACAGGACCCAUUUAGGGUUAAACAAGUUUUAUUGUGGAUCUUAAGGAACUCCCCAGACCUUCACAAACAAGCUUUACUGGGGACUAAAGGAACUCCCCAAAACCCUGUGAUUUAGCAGGACACAAGAUAAGGGUAAUCACCCCAGCACCUUCACCCAUUUAGAUUAAAUGAAUUUAUGAAGGCUCCAAAGGAAGGCCUUCAGGACUCAGAUCUUAGUUAUAGAUUAGAAGAAGUUAAUCACUUACUUAUGUCUUUAGAUGAAUGCACACGUACACAUAGACAUAUAGCUUAGAAGGUAUAUAAGCUCUGGAAAACUUUGUAAUUUUGAAUUGUUCUGGUGAUAUUUUCCAGACCUUCUCCCUGUACCCAGUUACAGCAAUAAACUCCCUUCUUUCCCA
Pan troglodytes (chimpanzee) is the source of this 2157-nucleotide long non-coding RNA. RefSeq lists it as uncharacterized. The transcript is spliced from 7 exons. NCBI's taxonomy places the organism in Eukaryota, Metazoa, Chordata, Mammalia, Primates, Hominidae. The record is from RefSeq and is a predicted model, not a curated record.